UACGUAGGGCGCAAGCGUUGUCCGGAAUUAUUGGGCGUAAAGAGCUCGUAGGCGGUUUGUCGCGUCUGCUGUGAAAACCUAAGGCUCAACCUUGGGCUUGCAGUGGGUACGGGCAGACUAGAGUGCGGUAGGGGUGACUGGAAUUCCUGGUGUAGCGGUGGAAUGCGCAGAUAUCAGGAGGAACACCGAUGGCGAAGGCAGGUCACUGGGCCGCAACUGACGCUGAGGAGCGAAAGCGUGGGGAGCAAACGGG
This 253-nucleotide ribosomal RNA is filed under the name uncultured bacterium. Its description in RNAcentral is "partial 16S ribosomal RNA". It matches the Rfam family "Bacterial small subunit ribosomal RNA", at positions 524 to 776 of the family's 1533-position model. The record is from RNAcentral.